AGAGUUUGAUCCUGGCUCAGAGUGAACGCUGGCGGCGUGGAUUAGGCAUGCAAGUCGAGCGAUCUUUGCUUGAUACUUACUGGAGUGCUUGCACAAAGGUAAGAGGAUAGCGCUAGAUAGCGGCAAACGGGUGAGUAACGCGUGAACAAUCUUCCCUUAAGUCUGGCAUAGCUUCGUGAAAACGGAGGUAAUACCGGAUGUGUCCCGAUCAUCGCAUGGUGAACGGGGUAAAGGCGGGGAAUCUUCGGAUCCUGCCUCUUAGGGAUGGGUUCGCGUCCUAUCAGCUUGUUGGUGGGGUAACGGCCUACCAAGGCGUUUGACGGGUAGCUGGUCUGAGAGGAUGGUCAGCCACACUGGGACUGAGACACUGCCCAGACUCCUACGGGAGGCUGCAGUCGAGAAUAUUUAGCAAUGGGCGAAAGCCUGACUAUGCGACGCCGCGUGAGGGAUGAAGGCUUUCGGGUUGUAAACCUCUUUUAUCAGGAAAGAAAAACUUAUAGUUAAUAGCUGUAAGUCUGACGUACCUGAUGAAUAAGCCACGGCCAACUCCGUGCCAGCAGCCGCGGUAAUACGGAGGUGGCAAGCGUUACUCGGAAUCAUUGGGUGUAAAGGGCAAGUAGGCGGUUUAUUAAGUGAGGGGUGAAAUCUUCCGACUCAAUCGGAAAACUGCCUUUCAAACUGAUAGACUUGAGGCAGGUAGAGGGAAAUGGAAUUCCAGGUGUAAGGGUGAAAUCUGUAGAUAUCUGGAAGAACACCGGCGGCGAAGGCGAUUUCCAGGGCCUGUCCUGACGCUAAACUGCGAAAGCUAGGGGAGCAAACAGAAUUAGAUACUCUGGUAGUCCUAGCCGUAAACGAUGAGUACUAGGUGUCGGGUCUUAACGAUUCGGUGCCGCAGCUAACGCAUUAAGUACUCCACCUGGGGACUACGGUCGCAAGGCUAAAACUCAAAGGAAUUGACGGGGGCCCGCACAAGCGGUGGAACAUGUGGUUUAAUUCGAUGCUACGCGAAGAACCUCACCAAGGUUUGACAUGCAGGCAGUAGUGACCUGAAAGGGAAGCGAGCCGUCAAGUCCGGCAAUCUGCACAGGUGCUGCAUGGCUGUCGUCAGCUCGUGUCGUGAGAUGUUGGGUUAAGUCCCGCAACGAGCGCAACCAUUUCCCUAUGUUGCCACCACAUUCGCGCCUUCGGGUAUGAAUGUGAGCACUCUUAGGGGACUGCCCGGGAUAACCGGGAGGAAGGUGGAGAUGACGUCAAGUCAGUACGGCCUUUAUGCCUUGGGCUACACACGUGUUACAAUGGCUGAUACAAAGGGUUGCCAACCCGCGAGGGGGAGCUAAUCUCUAAAAAUCAGCCUCAGUUCAGAUUGGAGUCUGCAAUUCGACUCCAUGAAGCCGGAAUCGCUAGUAAUGGAAGAUCAGCACGCUUCCGUGAAUACGUUCCCGGGCCUUGUACACACCGCCCGUCAAGCGAUGGGAGCCGGGGGUACCCGAAGUCCUAUGUAGAUAGGCCGAAGGUAAAUCUGGUGACUGGCGCUAAGUCGUAACAAGGUA
RNAcentral lists this ribosomal RNA (1550 nucleotides) under metagenome. RNAcentral describes it as "bacterial SSU rRNA". It matches the Rfam family "Bacterial small subunit ribosomal RNA". The record is from RNAcentral.